UGUCCGGAUUUAUUGGGCGUAAAACGAGCGCAGGCGGUUUUUUAAGUCUGAUGUGAAAGCCUUCGGCUCAACCGAAGAAGUGCAUCGGAAACUGGGAAACUUGAGUGCAGAAGAGGACAGUGGAACUCCAUGUGUAGCGGUGAAAUGCGUAGAUAUAUGGAAGAACACCAGUGGCGAAGGCGGCUGUCUGGUCUGUAACUGACGCUGAGGCUCGAAAGUAUGGGUAGCAAACAGGAUUAGAUACCCUGGUAGUCCAUACCGUAAACGAUGAAUGCUAAGUGUUGGAGGGUUUCCGCCCUUCAGUGCUGCAGCUAACGCAUUAAGCAUUCCGCCUGGGGAGUACGGCCGCAAGGCUGAAACUCAAAGGAAUUGACGGGGGCCCGCACAAGCGGUGGAGCAUGUGGUUUAAUUCGAAGCUACGCGAAGAACCUUACCAGGUCUUGACAUACUAUGCAAAUCUAAGAGAUUAGACGUUCCCUUCGGGGACAUGGAUACAGGUGGUGCAUGGUUGUCGUCAGCUCGUGUCGUGAGAUGUUGGGUUAAGUCCCGCAACGAGCGCAACCCUUAUUAUCAGUUGCCAGCAUUAAGUUGGGCACUCUGGUGAGACUGCC
Molecule: ribosomal RNA, 611 nt
Filed under: Lactobacillus sp. CL9
Lineage: Bacteria; Bacillati; Bacillota; Bacilli; Lactobacillales; Lactobacillaceae
Description: bacterial SSU rRNA
Rfam family: Bacterial small subunit ribosomal RNA
Source: RNAcentral